RNAcentral lists this long non-coding RNA (270 nucleotides) under Elaeis guineensis (African oil palm). RNAcentral describes it as "long non-coding RNA (EGUI_LNC030094)". Lineage: Eukaryota; Viridiplantae; Streptophyta; Magnoliopsida; Arecales; Arecaceae. The record is from RNAcentral.
GCCAAUAUCAAACCCAAUAACUGAUACCUAGAGACAAAUCUUUACAAGAAAGAAACCUAUCUGUUGAGGAAGAAAUAAAAGGAUAUAAUCAUAAAACAAGGUUAAAUUAGGGCGUAAAGGAAAAAAAUAACAAUAAAUUGUAGAUAAUAGAGAGAAAAAAAGGGGGAAGGAUGGGGCGAUGCGUCGGAGUCAUGGAAGAAUUAGAAACAGCGCAUGCUUUCUUUCAAGAAAACACGCUUCUUUAAUCGCAAACAACGCGUCGUCACUGCA